UGAUGCCCACCUGAAGCCCUGCUGGAGAGGACAGCACUCCGAGGAGUAGCAGAGGAACCAGAUGGAAGUAGCCAUGGUCUGGGACAACCUCAUGUAGCAAAACGGCCCUCCUGGCCUGGACAGACAGCUGAGGGUGCAAGCCCCGAGAAAUGCGAGCCAUGGCUCUUCAUGGCUGAAGGAAUUGGUCACCUAACACUGACACGGUCUGGAAGAAUUAUUUUGAAGCUGUGAUGACCACCUGAAGACCUGCUGGGGAGGACGGCACUCCAGGGAGUAGCAGAGCAACCACAAGGAAGUAGCCGUGGUGUGGGACGUCCUCAUGUAGCAGAAUGGCCUACCUGACCUGGACCGCCUACUGCCUCUGGACUGUUAAGAGAGGAUAGACACUGUCUUGGUGAUACCACUUAACAGUCGUGUGCAGCAUCAUGACAUUUUGGGCAGCAAUGGACCACAUGUACAAUAAGAUUAUCACAGAGCUCAACAUUCCUAUUUCCUGGUGACAUGGCAGCCAUCAUGACUUCGUAGCACAAUGCAUUCCUCACGUGUUUGCAGUGGUACUGGUGUAAACACACCUCCUUGCACUGUCAAUCAUAGAAUUUAGCACAUAGAAUUACAUACAGUACAUAACACCUGAUAAUGAUAAUAAAUGACUAUGUUAAAAGUUUA
Non-coding RNA from Homo sapiens (human), 666 nucleotides. Lineage: Eukaryota; Metazoa; Chordata; Mammalia; Primates; Hominidae. The record is from RefSeq and is a predicted model, not a curated record.